RNAcentral lists this ribosomal RNA (253 nucleotides) under uncultured bacterium. Its description in RNAcentral is "partial 16S ribosomal RNA". It matches the Rfam family "Bacterial small subunit ribosomal RNA", at positions 524 to 776 of the family's 1533-position model. The record is from RNAcentral.
UACGUAGGGUGCGAGCGUUAAUCGGAAUUACUGGGCGUAAAGCGUGCGCAGGCGGUUCGACAAGUCCGAUGUGAAAGCCCCGGGCUCAACCUGGGAAUGGCAUUGGAAACUGGCGAGCUUGAGUGUGGCAGAGGGGGGUGGAAUUCCGCGUGUAGCAGUGAAAUGCGUAGAGAUGCGGAGGAACACCGAUGGCGAAGGCAGCCCCCUGGGCUGACACUGACGCUCAGGCACGAAAGCGUGGGGAGCGAACCGG